Molecule: RNA transcript, 1846 nt
Organism: Solanum verrucosum
Lineage: Eukaryota; Viridiplantae; Streptophyta; Magnoliopsida; Solanales; Solanaceae
Gene name: xanthotoxin 5-hydroxylase CYP82C4-like
Exons: 2
Source: RefSeq, a predicted model, not a curated record
UCAAAUAUAUAUUCCUUCUUCCUUUGGGAAUAAUGUUUGAUAAUUUUCCUUUCAAUGAUCUACAAAUAUCACUUGCAACCCUUCUAGUUUUUUCUCUAUCAAUCAUUCUAUGGACAAGAAAUUGGAAAAGUACAAAACUACCCCCAGAAAUUCCGGGAUCAUGGCCAAUCAUAGGCCAUCUUCGUGGUUUUGGCGAUGGCGAAAACGUCCCUCUAGCCCGAACAUUUGGAAAAUUGUCUGAUCAGUACGGUCCGAUUUUCACUAUCAAGUUAGGUAUGUAUCGUUAUUGUGUUAUUAAUAAUUGGGAAGCAGCGAAAGAUUGCUUCACAAUUAAUGAUAAAGAACUCGCUGCUAGACCAAUUAGUCUAGCAGCUGAACAUUAUGGCUAUAAUUAUGCGAGAUUUCUUUCGCUAAUUAUGGUCCAUAUUAUUGUCAAGUACGAAAACUCGUGCUACAAAAUGUUCUUUCUAGCACUAGACUUGAAAAAGUCAAACAUGUUAGAAUUUCCGAGGUGGAAAUUAGCAUCAAAGAGUUGUAUAAUUUAUGUGGUAAGGGUGAUAAUUCAAACACGAUUAAUAUCAGUAAAUGGUUCGAGAAAUUAACUCUGAAUAUAAUCGUGAAGAUGAUUGCUGGUAAGAGGUAUAUAUCUUUAGAGAAAGACGAAGAGGCACAAUGUUUUAGAAAGGCCUUUGCUAAGAUUAUGUAUCUUGCUGGGGAAUUUAUUUUAUACGAUGCGAUUCCAUUCAAGAUUUUCAAAUAUGUGGAUUUUCAAGGGCAUAUUAAGACCAUGAAGCAAAUUUACAAGGACUUGGAUGAUAUUCUUCAAAGUUGGGUUAAUGAACAUAUGGAGAAAAAGAAAAUUGAAGGUGAUAAUAAUAAUGAACAAGAUUGUAUAGAUUCAAUGCUUUCAGUGACAAAACUUGAGGAUUUCAAAGCAUAUGGUUAUACAAGAGAUACAGUUAUCAAGGCUACAGUAUUGAGUAUGAUAUUAGAUGGUUCAGACACAACUGCUGUCCACCUAACAUGGCUCAUGUCUCUAUUAUUGAACAAUCCUCACGUCAUGAGUCAUGCCCAAGAAGAAAUAGACAACAAAGUUGGUAAAGAUAGAUGGGUAGAAGAAUCCGACAUCAAAGAUCUUGUCUAUCUCCAAGCUAUUGUUAAAGAAGCGUUACGCUUAUAUCCACCGGCACCUUUGUUAGUUCCACACGAAGCUGUGGAAGAUUGUACCGUGGCGGGGUACAACAUCCCAAAGGGUACUCGUUUGUUCCCGAACGCAUGGAAAAUACAACGAGACCCUCGAGUUUAUUCAGAACCUGAUAAAUUCAUGCCAGAGAGAUUCUUAAAUGAACAUUCGAAUGUGGAUGCUCGUGGUCAACAUUUUGAGUUCAUCCCGUUUGGUUCUGGAAGACGAUCUUGUCCCGGAAUUAAUUUCGCGACGCAAGUGGCGCACCUUACGAUUGGUCGAUUAAUUCAAGGAUUUAACUUUGGUCCACCAUCAAAGUUGCCUGUGGAUAUGACUGAAGGUCAAGGGAUUACUAUGCCUAAAGUAAAACCUGUGGAAGUUUUAAUCACCCCACGUUUGAGUUCUAUGCUUUAUGAACUUUAAUGUAAAAAUAAAAUCGAUUUUCGGAGAUUGAUUUUUUACGAUCCUUUUUUUUAGGUCGAUUUUCACUGUUUUUUUUUUAGUAGUGGCAUAAAAUUCCAGCUGAAUCUUUUGGCAAAUGCAACUAGAAAUCUAAGAGCCACUUUUUUCGAACUUUAGUACUAAUGUUUUAAGUAAUUAUUGUAAUAUAUAGUGUGUUUUUUUAAACAUUUUAUGUGAUUUAAUUAUCUUUUAAUUUUCCUA